UCCAGUUGUAGGCAACUGCCUAGGUUUCAUUGUACCUGGGCAAGUAUUACACUGCUGGGAGAAAAGCAGCUAAUAGCUGGUGUGUAUACUGGGCCUGGUAAAUGCCAAAUUUGUAUUAACUAU
This is a small nucleolar RNA of Ochotona princeps (American pika), 123 nucleotides long. Its record names the gene SNORA74. It matches the Rfam family "Small nucleolar RNA SNORA74". From Rfam's summary of the family: U19 belongs to the H/ACA class of snoRNAs. snoRNAs bind a number of proteins (including dyskerin, Gar1p and Nop10p in the case of the H/ACA class) to form snoRNP complexes. This class are thought to guide the sites of modification of uridines to pseudouridines by forming direct base pairing interactions with substrate RNAs. Targets may include ribosomal and spliceosomal RNAs but the exact functions of many snoRNAs, including U19, are not confirmed. Lineage: Eukaryota; Metazoa; Chordata; Mammalia; Lagomorpha; Ochotonidae. The record is from Ensembl.